UUAAGCGACUAAGCGUACACGGUGGAUGCCCUGGCAGUCAGAGGCGAUGAAGGACGUGCUAAUCUGCGAAAAGCGUCGGUAAGGUGAUAUGAACCGUUAUAGCCGGCGAUGUCCGAAUGGGGAAACCCAGUGCAAUUCGUUGCACUAUCGUUAACUGAAUACAUAGGUUAACGAGGCGAACCGGGGGAACUGAAACAUCUAAGUACCCCGAGGAAAAGAAAUCAACCGAGAUUCCCCCAGUAGCGGCGAGCGAACGGGGAGCAGCCCAGAGUCUGAAUCAGCUUGUGUGUUAGUGGAACGGUCUGGAAAGUCCGACGGUACAGGGUGAUAGUCCCGUACACCAAAAUGCACAGGUUGUGAACUCGAAGAGUAGGGCGGGACACGUGGUAUCCUGUCUGAAUAUGGGGGGACCAUCCUCCAAGGCUAAAUACUCCUGACUGACCGAUAGUGAACCAGUACCGUGAGGGAAAGGCGAAAAGAACCCCGGCGAGGGGAGUGAAAAAGAACCUGAAACCGUGUACGUACAAGCAGUGGGAGCACCUUCGGGUGUGACUGCGUACCUUUUGUAUAAUGGGUCAGCGACUUAUAUUCUGUAGCAAGGUUAACCGUAUAGGGGAGCCGCAGGGAAACCGAGUCUUAACUGGGCGUUAAGUUGCAGGGUAUAGACCCGAAACCCGGUGAUCUAGCCAUGGGCAGGUUGAAGGUUGGGUAACACUAACUGGAGGACCGAACCGACUAAUGUUGAAAAAUUAGCGGAUGACUUGUGGCUGGGGGUGAAAGGCCAAUCAAACCGGGAGAUAGCUGGUUCUCCCCGAAAGCUAUUUAGGUAGCGCCUCGUGAAUUCAUCUUCGGGGGUAGAGCACUGUUUCGGCUAGGGGGUCAUCCCGACUUACCAACCCGAUGCAAACUACGAAUACCGAAGAAUGUUAUCACGGGAGACACACGGCGGGUGCUAACGUCCGUCGUGAAGAGGGAAACAACCCAGACCGCCAGCUAAGGUCCCAAAGUCAUGGUUAAGUGGGAAACGAUGUGGGAAGGCACAGACAGCCAGGAUGUUGGCUUAGAAGCAGCCAUCAUUUAAAGAAAGCGUAAUAGCUCACUGGUCGAGUCGGCCUGCGCGGAAGAUGUAACGGGGCUAAACCAUGCACCGAAGCUGCGGCAGCGACACUAUGUGUUGUUGGGUAGGGGAGCGUUCUGUAAGCCUGCGAAGGUGUGCUGUGAGGCAUGCUGGAGGUAUCAGAAGUGCGAAUGCUGACAUAAGUAACGAUAAAGCGGGUGAAAAGCCCGCUCGCCGGAAGACCAAGGGUUCCUGUCCAACGUUAAUCGGGGCAGGGUGAGUCGACCCCUAAGGCGAGGCCGAAAGGCGUAGUCGAUGGGAAACAGGUUAAUAUUCCUGUACUUGGUGUUACUGCGAAGGGGGGACGGAGAAGGCUAUGUUAGCCGGGCGACGGUUGUCCCGGUUUAAGCAUGUAGGCUGGUUAUCCAGGCAAAUCCGGAUAAUCAAGGCUGAGGUGUGAUGACGAGGCACUACGGUGCUGAAGUAACAAAUGCCCUGCUUCCAGGAAAAGCCUCUAAGCAUCAGGUAACAUCAAAUCGUACCCCAAACCGACACAGGUGGUCAGGUAGAGAAUACCAAGGCGCUUGAGAGAACUCGGGUGAAGGAACUAGGCAAAAUGGUGCCGUAACUUCGGGAGAAGGCACGCUGGUGUGUAGGUGAAGCCCCUGCGGGUGGAGCUGAGACCAGUCGAAGAUACCAGCUGGCUGCAACUGUUUAUUAAAAACACAGCACUGUGCAAACACGAAAGUGGACGUAUACGGUGUGACGCCUGCCCGGUGCCGGAAGGUUAAUUGAUGGGGUUAUCCGUAAGGAGAAGCUCUUGAUCGAAGCCCCGGUAAACGGCGGCCGUAACUAUAACGGUCCUAAGGUAGCGAAAUUCCUUGUCGGGUAAGUUCCGACCUGCACGAAUGGCGUAAUGAUGGCCAGGCUGUCUCCACCCGAGACUCAGUGAAAUUGAACUCGCUGUGAAGAUGCAGUGUACCCGCGGCAAGACGGAAAGACCCCGUGAACCUUUACUAUAGCUUGACACUGAACAUUGAGCCUUGAUGUGUAGGAUAGGUGGGAGGCUUUGAAGCGUGGACGCCAGUCUGCGUGGAGCCAACCUUGAAAUACCACCCUUUAAUGUUUGAUGUUCUAACGUUGGCCCCUGACCGGGGUUGCGGACAGUGUCUGGUGGGUAGUUUGACUGGGGCGGUCUCCUCCCAAAGCGUAACGGAGGAGCACGAAGGUUAGCUAAUCCUGGUCGGACAUCAGGAGGUUAGUGCAAUGGCAUAAGCUAGCUUGACUGCGAGCGUGACGGCGCGAGCAGGUGCGAAAGCAGGUCAUAGUGAUCCGGUGGUUCUGAAUGGAAGGGCCAUCGCUCAACGGAUAAAAGGUACUCCGGGGAUAACAGGCUGAUACCGCCCAAGAGUUCAUAUCGACGGCGGUGUUUGGCACCUCGAUGUCGGCUCAUCACAUCCUGGGGCUGAAGUAGGUCCCAAGGGUAUGGCUGUUCGCCAUUUAAAGUGGUACGCGAGCUGGGUUUAGAACGUCGUGAGACAGUUCGGUCCCUAUCUGCCGUGGGCGCUGGAGAAUUGAGGGGGGCUGCUCCUAGUACGAGAGGACCGGAGUGGACGCAUCACUGGUGUUCGGGUUGUCAUGCCAAUGGCACUGCCCGGUAGCUAAAUGCGGAAGAGAUAAGUGCUGAAAGCAUCUAAGCACGAAACUUGCCCCGAGAUGAGUUCUCCCUGAGACUUUAAGUCUCCUGAAGGAACGUUGAAGACGACGACGUUGAUAGGCCGGGUGUGUAAGCGCAGCGAUGCGUUGAGCUAACCGGUACUAAUGAACCGUGAGGCUUAACCUU
This 2900-nucleotide ribosomal RNA is filed under the name Klebsiella pneumoniae. Its description in RNAcentral is "bacterial LSU rRNA". It matches the Rfam family "Bacterial large subunit ribosomal RNA". Lineage: Bacteria; Pseudomonadati; Pseudomonadota; Gammaproteobacteria; Enterobacterales; Enterobacteriaceae. The record is from RNAcentral.